This 253-nucleotide ribosomal RNA is filed under the name uncultured bacterium. RNAcentral's name for it is "partial 16S ribosomal RNA". It matches the Rfam family "Bacterial small subunit ribosomal RNA", at positions 524 to 776 of the family's 1533-position model. The record is from RNAcentral.
UACAGAGGUCCCGAGCGUUGUUCGGAUUCAUUGGGCGUAAAGGGUGCGUAGGCGGCGAGGCAAGUCUGAUGUGAAAUCCCGGGGCUCAACCCCGGAACUGCAUUGGAUACUGCCUUGCUAGAGUACUGGAGAGGGAACUGGAAUUUACGGUGUAGCAGUGAAAUGCGUAGAGAUCGUAAGGAAGGCCAGUGGCGAAGGCGAGUUCCUGGACAGUUACUGACGCUGAGGCACGAAGGCCAGGGGAGCAAACGGG